Molecule: ribosomal RNA, 253 nt
Filed under: uncultured bacterium
Lineage: Bacteria
Description: partial 16S ribosomal RNA
Rfam family: Bacterial small subunit ribosomal RNA
Source: RNAcentral
UACGUAGGGGGCAAGCGUUGUCCGGAAUCAUUGGGCGUAAAGCGCGUGUAGGCGGCCAGAUAAGUCCGUUCUGAAAGCCCGGGGCUCAACCCCGGGAGGCGGAUGGAUACUGUUUGGCUCGAGUCCGGAAGAGGCGAGUGGAAUUCCCGGUGUAGCGGUGAAAUGCGCAGAUAUCGGGAGGAACACCAAUGGCGAAGGCAGCUCGCUGGGACGGUACUGACGCUGAAACGCGAAAGCUAGGGGAGCGAACGGG